This 253-nucleotide ribosomal RNA is filed under the name uncultured bacterium. RNAcentral's name for it is "partial 16S ribosomal RNA". It matches the Rfam family "Bacterial small subunit ribosomal RNA", at positions 524 to 776 of the family's 1533-position model. The record is from RNAcentral.
UACGUAGGUGGCAAGCGUUGUCCGGAAUUAUUGGGCGUAAAGCGCGCGCAGGCGGCCUUUUAAGUCUGAUGUGAAAGCCCACGGCUCAACCGUGGAAGGUCAUUGGAAACUGAAAGGCUUGAGUACAGAAGAGGAAAGCGGAAUUCCACGUGUAGCGGUGAAAUGCGUAGAGAUGUGGAGGAACACCAGUGGCGAAGGCGGCCUGCUGGGCUGUUGCUGACGCUGAGGCGCGACAGCGUGGGGAGCAAACAGG